UCAGAUUAUUUUGCAUCAACCAUUCUUUAUUAUUCUGUUGUAAAAGAAAACAAUUGGUAUGUUUGACAGAAUCGAUCCUAAUGUAUGACUGGUAUUUAAUAUAAGGUUUCUAUUUUGAAUAUAGAAGAUAUAAAGUUAAAAAUACUCAGGAGAGAAGAAAAUUGAAUCUACCUCAGUUUGGAACUGGAGCCUAUUUACUCCUCAAAGAAAUGACUUCCAGUUCCUUUCUAAAAUAUUUGUCUUCCUUCUUACUAAAUAUGUUUUAAUUGCUAUUUUACAUUUCCUUUAUUGUUGCAAGAUAAAGUCAGAACAGGUCAAGCCUCUGGUACUUUAUGUCUUGCUCUUUCCCCCCUAUUUAAGUACUAUGUUUUGGACAAACAUUUAGAUAUCUGUUCUUGAAUUUUUCUCAAACCCAAAACUUUGAGCAAAUUGAAACCAUUAAUGUUUCAAUUAUUGCUGAAUAUACAGAAAGGAAAUAAGCACUUGAGGCUUAGAGCUACCAAUUACAUCAAUUAUUCCUGAAUUGAAUGGGAAAUUUCCUCUGUAAUUUCAGUGCUGUAUUUGUGAAGUUAAGUUUUUAUAAAUAGUUCUAAUGACAUAUUAUACAAUAGUUUUUUUUUUAAAAAAAGGAAAAGGAAAAAAGACGUUCUGUUAAUAAUAAUCUGUUGAAUUGUUCAGAUGCUCUGUGAUUAUGAUGAUGAUGAUGAUGAUGAUGGUCACUCAUCAUUUGAUGUUUGUUUGUGUUGACACCUUUAUUGUUACCAAACCAUUGAGGAGAUCAAUAAGAAUUACAAAUUAAAUCAAAACAAAGAUUUCUUAAACAAAUAUAAAGUCUUUUUGUAGAGCAAUAAGAUAACUGUAAGAAAGCUUGAAAACUUAGUUGUAAAUAAGACAAAA
This 897-nucleotide long non-coding RNA is filed under the name Octopus vulgaris (common octopus). Lineage: Eukaryota; Metazoa; Mollusca; Cephalopoda; Octopoda; Octopodidae. The record is from RNAcentral.